UUUUUCCUACGGGGCGCAGCAGUAGGGAAUCUUCCACAAUAGGCGAAAGCCUGAUGGAGCAACGCCGCGUGGGUGAAGAAGGUCUUCGGAUCGUAAAACCCUGUUGUUAGAGAAGAAAGUGCGUGAGAGUAACUGUUCACGUUUCGACGGUAUCUAACCAGAAAGCCACGGCUAACUACGUGCCAGCAGCCGCGGUAAUACGUAGGUGGCAAGCGUUAUCCGGAUUUUUUGGGCGUAAAGGGAACGCAGGCGGUUUUUUAAGUC
This 264-nucleotide ribosomal RNA is filed under the name uncultured bacterium. RNAcentral's name for it is "partial 16S ribosomal RNA". It matches the Rfam family "Bacterial small subunit ribosomal RNA", at positions 333 to 589 of the family's 1533-position model. The record is from RNAcentral.